This is a long non-coding RNA of Oncorhynchus tshawytscha (Chinook salmon), 3402 nucleotides long. Lineage: Eukaryota; Metazoa; Chordata; Actinopteri; Salmoniformes; Salmonidae. The record is from Ensembl.
CCGCUAUCCCUAAAGGAUAUCCCGACUAGCCCGCUAUCUCUGAAAGAUAUCCCGACUAGCCCGCUAUCCCUAAAGAAUAUCCCGACUAGCCCGCUAUCCCUAAAGGAUAUCCUGACUAGCCCGCUAUCCCUAAAGAAUAUCCUGACUAGCCCGCUAUCCCUAAAGAAUAUCCCGACUAGCCCGCUAUCUCUAAAGGAUAUCCCAAAACAGAGAGAAUGCAUGUUGGUCCCUAUCUCAGGCAGUGAGCUGAGCCUUGUCUGUUAUUUUAGACGUAUCCUCCAACCAGAGCCAAGUUUACCGAGGUGUUGCGGUCUAUUUUGAGCUGUAACACAACACGGUCCAAACAGCUGCUGUCCCUGACCGCCUCCUGACCGCCUCCUGAUUCAAGUUUGAAUUUCCCCUUGUCAGCAUGAUGGAAUGGAUGGCACCCAACGGAAUACCAAGCACCCAGCGACUCCCUGCUGAACCGAAUCACUUAUAUACAUGUAAAAGCUGAAUUGCAGUGACUGUUGGGUGAAUCGUUUUGGAAAUAAUUGACUCCUUGAUAGCUGAUUAUUGAUAUCGGGGCUCUUCCAGGAACCUGGCAUUGCAGCUGGUGUAGCAAAGGUCAUAGACACACACACACACACACACACACACACACAAGCCCAUGCAUACACACACACACACACACACACACACACACACACACACACACACACACACACACACACACACACACACACACACACACACACACACACACACACACGCACACAUGUACACACACACAAUCUCUCUCUAUCACUCUCUUUCUAUUUCUGUAUCACACACAUCCUUACACAGGGCAGCUCUGUUGGAUGACACUCGUCCCUGGGUCCUGUCCAAAGGUGUGACCGGGCCAAGCUGGAGAGGGCUGGGCCACGAGCCUAAUUGAUCUUGGCCCAAUCACAACACACCACACUCACACUGAGAGGCUGCCCAAAAUAAACACACACACACACACGUUGGGCUCUAAUUCAAUCCACAUCGCGGAAGUUCAGCUUUACAACGUGAUUGAAAUUUAAAGGCAAUGUUCCCGCUUUAGUGGAGACUGCAUUCACAAUAAACACUGAAUAUGUAGACUCAGUCGGAAAUUACCAUUAAGUUUCUAUUGAAUCUGUCAAGAUUGAAUAGAGCCCUUUUGUCACGUUCUGACCUUAGUUCCUUUGUGAUGUCUUUGUUUUAGUAUGGUCAGGGCGUGAGUUGGGUGGGCAGUCUAUGUUCUCUUUUCUAUGAUUUGGUAUUUCUGUGUUUGGCCUGGUAUGGUUCUCAAUCAGAGGCAGAUGUCAAUCGUUGUCCCUGAUUGAGAACUAUACUUAGGCAGCCUGUUUUCACCCUUGAGUUGUGGGUGAUUAUACUUUCUGUUUAGUGUGUUUUGCACCUGACGGAGCUGUGUCGGUUGUGUUUUUUUGUUUGAUGUUGUUCAGUUAAAAUAAAUAAGAUGAACAAGUACCACGCUGUGCUUUGGUCCUCCGAUCCUUCCUACUCCUCCUCGUCAGAGGAAGAAGAAGACCGUUACACCUUUACCUCUCUAUAAUUGAGUCGAUUAGUAUAUAAUAUAUUUAAUAUAUUUCUCCAAGGAGGCAAUUUCCCGGUCACAUUGUUUGGACAAACUCCCCAAUGUGUCCUGUUUAAGAAUUACUAAUCUACUCUGGGUCCUGUCUAUGAAUGACUAAUCUCGGCACCCAGAACCAAAUCAACUAUUCCAAUUUCAAUGUUUCAAUGUUAAUGCUGUGUCAUGACUCUCCUGUGAAGAUCUGAAGGAUCAGGUUACAGUGGGUCCGCUUUAGAGCGUGCUCUCUCGUAGAGGGGGAGAGUGGGAAGUCGGCUGUUUUAUGACGGUCGUAAAUACCGAAACUCCUUUCCCCACUGCCAAAAGGAAAGUUGAAAAUCCCUUUGUUACCACAGAGAAAGACUUUGCAGUACGAUAACCUCAAAAGGUUUUCUAAUGUAACAAUAUUUCUGUAUUCCAACCAGUUGGAAUGGUCCGUGGGUAUUUAAACAAUAAUCAUGUCCAACAUUUACUGUGUGACGUUAUAACGGAAACAUUGUAACUUUAAGAGCUUUCACAAUGUAUUUCUCAGAUUUGCAUCUUGCAUGUUGUGAAACUACUUCUCACAAAUAUAAAGAUGAAAUGUAUUUUAGCCUCCAAAAUGAGAAUUGUCUUUCAUGUAAAGUUUUUCCCAGUCAGUAACCACGGCUACGCGAGCACAUUGGGAAAAAAGGGAUGGAACCGCCAUCUAAGGCGAGUGCUUAUAAAGGACUCCUGACAACAUUUACACUAGUUAAAAACGCAGGCACAGGAGUUCCCACGUUGAAAUGGCUAAACUCUGAAACUAUCGAUCACUACUGAAGAAGUAAAUCCUAGACCGUAACCUUUAUCAGUCCGCAGCUGAAAAUAUACGUAUGUCUAGGACGAGAAUACAGACAAUGGCGGGAGCAUCUACUCUAAGAGAACAACUCUAAGAACUACAGGGUACGUUGACGUAUACAUUAUAACAUAGCUACAAAGGACACAGUGACCAGAGUUAAACAACCAGAGACUCUCUGAUGAACUAAUAUCCAGCAGACGGACCGGCGAUUGCAGAGUGGGACAGCAAGUCCUACACUCGUAAAUAUUUAAAUUGCCAUUUAUUUUCGAAUGAGGGGUUGUUCAUGUUCAAGGCAAUUUCUAUGAGUGUAGUUAUCAGCACUGAGUUUCCCACUCUUGAGCUGUCCCACCCCUUUCCUUUGUCUACCAAGCCGUCAUAUCGGCUUAGCCCACUAGGGACUUUUCUAUCAUGUCAGUAACCAAUGUAUGACCAAUUGUGUGUGUUUUUAUGUAAUUCUGUGAUUGAUUAGUUAGUAAAUAAAAUAAUUAAGCCAAUUUGUAUAUGGCUGAUUCCUGAUUUAUGUUAGGGUUCGUGCAGAUAUCCAAGGGUGUGCAACGUUCAGUAAUGAGACUGAUGAGGUAAUAAUACAUUAAUAAGUGACUGUAAACGAUAAGAUGUGAAAAUAUCGGAAGAGUUAAUUCGGGAAAUAAAUACUCUUUAAACAUUUUCCUGUGGUGCCCCUACUUCCUCGUUAAUUAAAGUGACAUGAUUUGUUUAAUCGUGUUAUUAAAUGACACAUAGAGAAUUGAUUUGGGAAUAUACAGUCUUCACAUUUAAUGAUAGUCAACGCUAUGACAGCUGUCACAAGAGCCUAGUGAAUGAUUGGCUCAUUACAUAGAGUCUGAACCGACGGAGUGAAAUCUAGUCUAGCCAGGGGAAAGAUCAUCCAGUCUGUCUGAGCUCAGACAAUGGAGAGGAGGAGGGGUCUGUCCUCAGUUUAACACGUCAAGGGGAAACCAUCUGUGGGAAUUCUGCCGGAGCAACCGCUUUAUCAAAACACAAGGACAAG